GCCAAGUACUUGCAUGUUAGAUAGACAACGGAUCCGAAAGGAGCUAUUUUUAUCAUAUUUUGAAGUUCAAGUGUUUAGAUGGAGUCAAAAGUAGUUCAGUCAUAAGAAAGCUUUUAAGUUUCUGUAAUCACUAUUACACUAUGAUAUAUAUUCAACAUUAUAAUUAGGACUGUAUUAGCAUCCAUGUUCAUUCACAGUUUUGUUGGUCAUAUUGUUUGAUUUCUCGCAUCAUCGGAUAUUAUUCUAAAAUCAAAACACGGCAUGCAAAGUUUACUGUCCACUGAACUUGUGUUUUUUAGAUUUAUCAAAGAAAUUAGAUUAAAAAAAUGUUAUUUGACAAAAGUUCAUAAAGGUGUGUUUUAUCUAGGUAGCUACCAUUUGACUUUUUUGGGGGGGAGCUAGGGUCCUGAUGUUUUUAUCAUUAGUUUAUCCUGCCAUUUUUACAUGAAUUGUCAUCCUUCUAUUUUAUUUACAAACUUGCUCGUUCUGUUUUUUUUACUCAAAAUUCAGGCUUUGUUUUCCCUUCAAAUUUAAUCCUAGCCCUCCUAAAAAUCAAAUGAUAGCUCCCUUAACAUUAACAUGAAAAGAAAUAUUUAAAAACAAUUUAGUUUCUGACUUUCUUUUAUAUUUAAUGUAAUACCCAUUUCUAAUCGUUGUGACAUAUUUACACAAUAUAGUAAACCAAUUAUAAUUUUUUUCGGUUACAAUAAUUAUAAAUUGAAAUGAUCUCAGAUUUUUAUUAUGCUUACCACUUGGAAUUGUUCAAUUUCAAAUACAUUAGCGCAAAAGAAACAAACUUAACAAAUUUUUGAGAAAAAUCAAUGAACAUAAACAGAUCAAAAGGAAACAGUAGAUAGAGAUCAAUACAGCAUAGGAAAAUAUUAAACUAAUUAACAUAAAUAGAACUAAAAAGAAAAACAUAGCAAAAAAAAUUAAGAAAUAUAAUAUGAAAAGAACAGCAUUUACUACUUGACAUGCCCAAUAUACAGUAAGUUUGUAAUCAAAAGUGUUUACAUCUUCACUGAAAUAUGUGCUUGCCUUCUCAGCAAUGCUAUUAGUACAAUUCAUUAUAUAGUUUAUACCUGCUUGAGUAUACGUGCUAUAAAAAUAAUCGACAUAUGUUGCGGCUGAUAAAAACGUUGACGUUAUAUAAGUACUACUUCCGCUCAAAAACUCUAAGUGUCGCACUACUACAUCGUCUAGGAACUCAGGUUUUUCAGAAAACCAUUCAAUAAAUACACAUACACCAAGAUAUAAGAAGCAAACCGAUGUGAAGAUCAGGAAGAUGAUUGUAGCAAAACGGGCUACGCUAUUACCUGAAAAAAAAAUCAGUAGCAGCGGCUUGAACUAUUUGUAUAAAGCAUUAUUAUUCAGGUUAAGAAAACCUAGAUUCUUAAUACCUUUCAUACAUGUGCAUUGUUUUAAGAAGUUUCCGUCCGUCAAAUAUCCAUUGACCUUAACCUUAUUUUCAUAAUUUAGAGCUUGCUUAAACAACUAUAGCUUCUUUUGUCGAUUUAAAUUCUUGCUAAUUUUGAGUAAUAGAUAACUAUACAUGGGUUAUGAGAGCAUUGAGACCGUCUAUCAGUUACUAUAAUCGAUAGGUACACGAUAUUUGGUGGGUGAAAUAGUUGUAAAGUGAACAAAUCUGUCUGGUAAGGUUCAUCUGAUCUUCACCUCAAUUUAAUAGUUUAUCAAUCAAUGUUAAGUUUUCUUGGUUAGAUCUGGUUUUACAAAUACUAUAUAACAAUAUGUUAACAUUAUUUAAUGUAUGGUAUGUUUGACAUGGCUUAUCCUACCUUUACCAGUAUCUCAUUUUCAUAAAUUAUGGAUAAUACUAAUUUCAUGUAAUACUAUGCAAUUUCUGUAUCCAUUUAACAUAAAUUUAAUCAUCAUCAGUACAUGAAAAUCACGCGAGACAUUUCAGCGUGUGUACGUUGUGAAGUCACCUUACAUUUU
This 1956-nucleotide long non-coding RNA is filed under the name Mytilus galloprovincialis (Mediterranean mussel). Lineage: Eukaryota; Metazoa; Mollusca; Bivalvia; Mytilida; Mytilidae. The record is from RNAcentral.